AUUGAACGCUGGCGGCAGGCCUAACACAUGCAAGUCGAGCGAGCGGCGGACGGGUGAGUAAUGUAUGGGGACUGCCCGAUAGCGGGGGAUCACUACUGGAAACGGUAGCUAAUACCGCAUACUAUCGGAUAACCCAUAUGGGAUUAGCUAGUAGGUGAGGUAAUGGCUCACCUAGGCGACGAUCCCUAGCUGGUCUGAGAGGAUGAUCAGCCACACUGGGACUGAGACACGGCCCAGACUCCUACGGAGGCAGCAGUGGGGAAUAUUGCACAAUGGGCGAAAGCCUGAUGGAGCCAUGCCGCGUGUAUGAAGAAGGCCCUAGGGUUGUAAAGGACUUUCGGUAGGGAGGCGUUACCGACAGAAGAAGCACCGGCUAACUCCGUGCCAGCAGCCGCGGUAAUAC
Molecule: ribosomal RNA, 403 nt
Filed under: uncultured bacterium
Lineage: Bacteria
Description: partial 16S ribosomal RNA
Rfam family: Bacterial small subunit ribosomal RNA
Source: RNAcentral